CCUAACACAUGCAAGUCGAACGCCGUAGCAAUACGGAGUGGCAGACGGGUGAGUAACACGUGGGAACAUACCCUUUGGUUCGGAAUAACUCAGGGAAACUUGAGCUAAUACCGGAUAAGCGCUUAGGCGGAAAGAUUUAUCGCCGAAGGAUUGGCCCGCGUCCGAUUAGCUAGUUGGUGAGGUAACGGCUCACCAAGGCGACGAUCGGUAGCUGGUCUGAGAGGAUGAUCAGCCACAUUGGGACUGAGACACGGCCCAAACUCCUACGGGAGGCAGCAGUGGGGAAUAUUGGACAAUGGGCGCAAGCCUGAUCCAGCCAUGCCGCGUGAGUGAUGAAGGCCCUAGGGUUGUAAAGCUCUUUUGUGUGGGAAGAUAAUGACUGUACCACAAGAAUAAGCCCCGGCUAACUUCGUGCCAGCAGCCGCGGUAAUACGAAGGGGGCUAGCGUUGUUCGGAUUUACUGGGCGUAAAGCGCACGUAGGCGGAUCUUUAAGUCAGAGGUGAAAUCCCGGAGCUCAACUUCGGAACUGCCUUUGAUACUGGGGAUCUCGAGUUCGGGAGAGGUGAGUGGAACUGCGAGUGUAGAGGUGAAAUUCGUAGAUAUUCGCAAGAACACCAGUGGCGAAGGCGGCUCACUGGC
This 640-nucleotide ribosomal RNA is filed under the name uncultured Alphaproteobacteria bacterium. RNAcentral's name for it is "bacterial SSU rRNA". It matches the Rfam family "Bacterial small subunit ribosomal RNA", at positions 47 to 733 of the family's 1533-position model. The record is from RNAcentral. Lineage: Bacteria; Pseudomonadati; Pseudomonadota; Alphaproteobacteria.